This 293-nucleotide ribosomal RNA is filed under the name uncultured bacterium. Its description in RNAcentral is "partial 16S ribosomal RNA". It matches the Rfam family "Bacterial small subunit ribosomal RNA", at positions 335 to 627 of the family's 1533-position model. The record is from RNAcentral.
UGUCUACGGGGGGCAGCAGUGAGGAAUAUUGGUCAAUGGGAGAGAUCCUGAACCAGCCAAGCCGCGUGAGGGAAGACGGCCCUAUGGGUUGUAAACCUCUUUUGUCGGAGAACAAAACCCGGGACGUGUCCCGGACUGCGUGUAUCCGAAGAAAAAGCAUCGGCUAACUCCGUGCCAGCAGCCGCGGUAAUACGGAGGAUGCGAGCGUUAUCCGGAUUUAUUGGGUUUAAAGGGUGCGUAGGCGGAAGGUUAAGUCAGCGGUCAAAUGUCGGUGCUCAACACCGGCCUGCCGU